CAAAGUGCUCACAGUGCAGGUAGUACACACAGAUCUACUGCAGUUUGUGCACUCGGGU
RNAcentral lists this microRNA precursor (58 nucleotides) under Monopterus albus (swamp eel). RNAcentral describes it as "Mal-Mir-17-P4c_pre stem-loop". Lineage: Eukaryota; Metazoa; Chordata; Actinopteri; Synbranchiformes; Synbranchidae. The record is from RNAcentral.